AAGACCUUGCACUUUUGGAGCGGCCGAUGUCUGAUUAGCUAGUUGGUGGGGUAAUGGCCUACCAAAGCUUCGAUCAGUAGCUGGUCUGAGAGGACGGCCAGCCACACUGGGACUGAGACACGGCCCAGACUCCUACGGGAGGCAGCAGUGGGGAAUUUUGGACAAUGGGCGCAAGCCUGAUCCAGCCAUGCCGCGUGAGUGAAGAAGGCCUUCGGGUUGUAAAGCUCUUUCAGCCGGGAAGAAAAGGUUGCGAUUAAUAAUCGCAAUUUAUGACGGUACCGAAAGAAGAAGCACCGGCUAACUACGUGCCAGCAGCCGCGGUAAUACGUAGGGUGCGAGCGUUAAUCGGAAUUACUGGGCGUAAAGGGUGCGCAGGCGGUUUUGUAAGUCAGAUGUGAAAUCCCCGGGCUUAACCUGGGAACU
This 423-nucleotide ribosomal RNA is filed under the name uncultured bacterium. RNAcentral's name for it is "bacterial SSU rRNA". It matches the Rfam family "Bacterial small subunit ribosomal RNA", at positions 207 to 622 of the family's 1533-position model. The record is from RNAcentral.